RNAcentral lists this ribosomal RNA (490 nucleotides) under uncultured bacterium. RNAcentral describes it as "partial 16S ribosomal RNA". It matches the Rfam family "Bacterial small subunit ribosomal RNA", at positions 35 to 506 of the family's 1533-position model. The record is from RNAcentral.
GGGGGGGGGGGGGGGGGGCGGAGCGGGUGGGAGGCGGAGGGGAGGAGAGUGAGAGGGUGCGCUUGCGGGGGGCGAGUGGCGGACGGGUGAGGAAUACAUCGGAAUCUACUUUUUCGUGGGGGAUAACGUAGGGAAACUUACGCUAAUACCGCAUACGACCUACGGGUGAAAGCAGGGGAUCUUCGGACCUUGCGCGAUUGAAUGAGCCGAUGUCGGAUUAGCUAGUUGGCGGGGUACAGGCCCACCAAGGCGACGAUCCGUAGCUGGUCUGAGAGGAGGAGCACCCCCACUUGAACUAGGACCCGGUCCAAACUCCUACGGGAGGCAGCCGUGGGGAAUAUUGGAAAAGGGGCGCAAUCCUGACCCAGCCAUACCGCGUGGGUGAAGAAGGCCUUCGGUUUGUAAAGCCCUUUUUUUGGGAAAGAAAAGCAGCAGGUUAAUCCCCCGCUGUUCGGGCGGUACCCAAAAAAUAAGCACCGCCUAACUUCGU